CCUACGGGUGGCAGCAGUGAGGAAUAUUCGUCAAUGGGCGCGAGCCUGAACCAGCCAAGUAGCGUGAAGGAUGACUGCCCUACGGGUUGUAAACUUCUUUUAUAAAGGAGUACAUUGAUGCACGUGUGCCUUUUUGUAUGUACUUUAUGUAUAAGGAUCGGCUAACUCCGUGCCAGCAGCCGCGGUAAUACGGUGGAUCCGAGCGGUACGCGGAUUGAUUGGGUUUAAAGGGAGCGUAGAUGGGUUGUUAAGUCAGUUGUGAAAGUUUGCGGCUCAAACGUAAAAUUGCAAUUGAUACUGGCAGUCUUGAGUACAGUUGAGGUAGGUGGAAUUCGAGGUGUAGCGGUGAAAUGCGUAGAGAUCACGAAGAACUCCGAUUGCGAAGGCAGCUUACUAGUCUGCAACUGACAUUGAUGCUCGAAAGUGUGGGUAUCAAACAGGAUUAGAUACCCGAGUAGUC
This 460-nucleotide ribosomal RNA is filed under the name uncultured bacterium. Its description in RNAcentral is "partial 16S ribosomal RNA". It matches the Rfam family "Bacterial small subunit ribosomal RNA", at positions 338 to 795 of the family's 1533-position model. The record is from RNAcentral.